CGGAUGCAAAGUGGCGCUGGUUGGGAUGAGAAGACCUGCAUGAUAGUUGCUGAGAAGGCUUUGUGGGAUAAUCUAGAAAUCUCCUUUCCAAGAAUUGGGAAAUUCAAGAGAAAUGGCUUUCCUAUGUAUGAUUCUCUUGGAGAUCUAUAUGAUGGCCAAAUAGCUGAGGGGAAUCACAAUUUCACUUCAAGCUCUAAGGCAUCUCAACUUGAUGAAGAGUUUGAAGAUGAGAGAGUGCAAGAAGGC
This is a long non-coding RNA of Lolium rigidum, 246 nucleotides long. RefSeq lists it as uncharacterized. The record is from RefSeq and is a predicted model, not a curated record. The transcript is spliced from 3 exons. NCBI's taxonomy places the organism in Eukaryota, Viridiplantae, Streptophyta, Magnoliopsida, Poales, Poaceae.